RNAcentral lists this ribosomal RNA (412 nucleotides) under Bradypodion sp. KTH466. Its description in RNAcentral is "partial 16S ribosomal RNA". It matches the Rfam family "Bacterial large subunit ribosomal RNA", at positions 1914 to 2596 of the family's 2925-position model. The record is from RNAcentral. Lineage: Eukaryota; Metazoa; Chordata; Lepidosauria; Squamata; Chamaeleonidae.
AAAUUCUUAACGGCCGCGGUACUAAAACCGUGCAAAGGUAGCACAAUCACUUGUCCCUUAAAUGAGGACCCGUAUGAAAGGCAACAUGAGAGAAGACCUGUCUCCUAAGGCCAGCCAAUGAAAUUGAACUACCAGUACAAAAGCUGGUAUAUACAAGCAAGACAAAAAGACCCUAUGGAACUUUAACAAAUUAUUUACACGACAUAAAUUAUAGUUUCAGUUGGGACAACUUUAGAGAAAAUUAACCCCGACCCAGUCACACUGAUUAACGAAACAAGCUACCCUAGGGAUAACAGCGCUACCUUCUCAAAGAGUCCAUAUCAACAAGAAGAUCUACGACCUCGAUGUUGGAUCAGGGUACCCCGACGGUGCAGCAGCUGUCAAGGGUUCGUUUGUUCAACGAUUAACACCC